UAGGGCAUAAUAGCUUGGCCACACAUGCUCCAUACGCAUCAUGACUUUGUGUACCUAUCUGAUGGGCGGGGUAUAUGAAACGCCUUCUUGUACAUGCAGGUGAUCCAGGUAUACACCAAAGCUUAGUUUUCAAUCGAACACUUGUAAUAUAAGAGGAAAAACUGCACGUGAGCCUUCCAAAAUUUUAAUAAACGGUAAAAUACACAAGAUAACCUCACAUAUAUUAAGUGAUUAUCUUUGCAUCAAAUCAGCCUUUUUUCCAUCAACUGUAGCAUUUCUCCUUCGAAGCUCGGUUUGUAGAAAAGAAAUUCCCACCUAUUACCAGUGGUAAAAGGUGGGAAAAUAAUUCCCAGUAGUUACCACUGAUAAGAACUUGGUGGUAACUAGUGGGAAUAACCCUUUUAUUGUUAAUAAUUACUGUUAAUCAUAAUCAUCUUCGGAGUCGAAGUCUGACGAACUUUCCCCAGACUCCGACUUAUCUAUUGUUAUUUCUUCGACUCGCAAAGGCGUUAUGUGUCCUUCAAACCAUUUGAUCUUAUACAUUUCAUCUCUUAAUGUCCAGCCACAAUGUGUUGCAUCAAAUUUGAUGCAAGUGGAUUCUGCCGCACACUGCCACAUUGAAUUUAUGAAAGCCGUCCGUAACAAGCCAUACGUCAACAGGUUUAUUUUAGGUAUUAUAAUCCGUUUGUUACAUUCUAUUUUUCGAUGAGGUAAAUUGUAGCUCUCACGUGGUACCACAAAAUUGGUCGGACACAGGAACCUGCCAACACAGGAUUUGGCCGACCACUUUUUUUUUA
Cydia splendana is the source of this 797-nucleotide long non-coding RNA. RefSeq lists it as uncharacterized. The record is from RefSeq and is a predicted model, not a curated record. The transcript is spliced from 3 exons. NCBI's taxonomy places the organism in Eukaryota, Metazoa, Arthropoda, Insecta, Lepidoptera, Tortricidae.